UACGUAGGGACCAAGCGUUGUCCGGAAUCAUUGGGCGUAAAGAGCGUGUAGGCGGCUUGUUAAGUCUUGCGUGAAAUCCCAGAGCUCAACUCUGGAACUGCCUUUGAUACUGGGUGUCUUGAGUAUGGAAGAGGUGAGUGGAAUUCCGAGUGUAGAGGUGAAAUUCGUAGAUAUUCGGAGGAACACCAGUGGCGAAGGCGGCUCACUGGUCCAUUACUGACGCUGAGGUGCGAAAGCGUGGGGAGCAAACAGG
RNAcentral lists this ribosomal RNA (253 nucleotides) under uncultured bacterium. RNAcentral describes it as "partial 16S ribosomal RNA". It matches the Rfam family "Bacterial small subunit ribosomal RNA", at positions 524 to 776 of the family's 1533-position model. The record is from RNAcentral.